AGCGAACGCUGGCGGCAGGCUUAACACAUGCAAGUCGAACGCAUCCUUCGGGGUGAGUGGCAGACGGGUGAGUAAUACGUGGGAACGUACCCUUCGAUCUGGGAUAACUUCGGGAAACUGGAGCUAAUACCGGAUACGCCCUUUUGGGGAAAGGUUUACUGUCGAAGGAUCGGCCCGCGUCUGAUUAGCUAGUUGGUGGGGUAACGGCCUACCAAGGCGACGAUCAGUAGCUGGUCUGAGAGGAUGAUCAGCCACACUGGGACUGAGACACGGCCCAGACUCCUACGGGAGGCAGCAGUGGGGAAUAUUGGACAAUGGGCGCAAGCCUGAUCCAGCCAUGCCGCGUGAGUGAUGAAGGCCUUAGGGUUGUAAAGCUCUUUUGUCCGGGACGAUAAUGACGGUACCGGAAGAAUAAGCCCCGGCUAACUUCGUG
RNAcentral lists this ribosomal RNA (433 nucleotides) under uncultured bacterium. RNAcentral describes it as "partial 16S ribosomal RNA". It matches the Rfam family "Bacterial small subunit ribosomal RNA", at positions 29 to 507 of the family's 1533-position model. The record is from RNAcentral.